Molecule: long non-coding RNA, 2104 nt
Organism: Hordeum vulgare subsp. vulgare (domesticated barley)
Lineage: Eukaryota; Viridiplantae; Streptophyta; Magnoliopsida; Poales; Poaceae
Exons: 5
Source: RefSeq, a predicted model, not a curated record
AUCUUGUUCUCUGGGACAUGACCUUCCUAAUUUUGCUACCGAUUACAAUGUUUUUGUCUUCUUAUAUGGACACUCAUGUUAGGUGUUGCCUAAAUUUACACUGACAUAGUCAUAUUUCGAAAUUUCAAUUGGUUUCAUAAUGGUGGUCUUUGCUUAAAGGAUCAGAGUCUUGUUGAGGGGCUUUUCCUGAAGGGUGAUCUUCAAAUUCUAUGCACGACAAGUACUUUGGCACGGCAUCAACUUACCUUCACAUAUAGUAGUGAUAAAGUCGACACAAUUUUUCAACAAAGAGAAGGGAUCUUAUGUAUAAUAUGAGAGAUCCAUGGUUCUCCAGGUGUUCUACUAAGUCUCAGUUGCUCCUGCAAAAUAACAUCUUAACAAACAAAGGAUAAGCACCACCAAGCAUUUAUUUGCUAUGCAUUUUUUUCCUUACAGCCUAAUAUACAUGUUGCCUAAGGUGUUUUUACUUGCUUACCUGAUUAAUAAAUGAAAAAAAAUAAUAGACAGGUUAACAAAUUUAGCUCAGGCCUCGUUAAUAUCGAUAUAAUUAUAUGUGAACUGUCCUUUGAAUAACAUAAGUUGGUUCUGACUUUGUUCCCGCAAAUGAUCGGAUAUGCUAAAUUAUUUUUCAUGUAUACAAGGAUUUGGUUAUCCUGUAAUGCAUUACCGUAUUUAUUUAAAGUUAUUUACAUUUUGUAAUUCAAAUAGGAAAUGAUGGUAUGUGAUAAUGCCCUUGCUUCUGAUAGAGCCUUUUUUUGUCACCUCACAGAUGUGUGGGAGGGAUGUCCGUCCACCAUUUGAUGAUACUGGAGCAUUCGUAAUUAUGACAAGAAGAGAGACAAUAAAUUUUAUGUGUUUUCCUCUCUUUUCCUCUCUUGUUAAUUCUGAAAUACCAUUGUCAGGAAAAUGAUUGAUUGUAACAAGCACAUAUGUUGAAGCAUAUACAACAUUGUUUCUUACCGCAUAAACUUAAUUUCCCCUCAUGUUGUUGACUUUCAGUGUUGAACCUAAAUAAGUUUUACGAUCUACAGAUUAUAGUUACAAGCCAAAAAAGCUUCAAGAAGGUAUUUUACAAUAAUAUUCAUGUGAUGAGCUAGCGACAGUCCAGUUUCAGAUUAUUCUUUGUGCAAGUGUUUUUUAAAAGAAUUAUCUAUGCACAUGUUGGUUCACUGCACUCACUAAUAGUUUCCUACAUAGAAACCUCUGCUGCACACUCAGGUUUAGAAGACAGAGCCAACCUUCUAUUCUACGCCUUAAGAAAAUAGAGCAAUCAGCAGUACCCAUGAAUACGAUAGGAAUAAAGAGUAGAGAAGAUGACACACACUUUUUGGGAUGUUUCAUAGAGAGUUGGACGUGCAUCUCUGUCUAAAUUUAUAGUUACACAACAAUGUUGAGCAUUUAUUUGGGGGCCAAUAUACUUGAACUUGUAUGAGUUUUGAUCAAGAAUGUACCGGUAUAAAUUAUUAUUGACUUGCUUAUGUUCAACUCAAAUUUAAGUAUGAGUCGCAUGUAUUUUGUUUUAGUGAUACACUGUAUAGGACAAGAAAGUAUAUGGUGAUAUUUUAUGUGAUGGACGCUUUCAGUGGAAGGAUUGUAAUGGAGGGGUUGCUAGGGUGAUAGAACCUAUUCAUUGGUUGACGACGACGAGAAACAAGGGAUUUAUUACGAUGGCGGCGAGACAACUGAUAAGGUUGGGUCGGACUCAACAGCUAGAAAUAACGCUCAAACGACAAGGAAGUUAACGAGGGCUGGUCAUAUCUAGUGCCCGAAGAAGUUAAACAGGAUCGCUACCUACAGGAGUAUGGAUUAUUCUUAAAAAAUCUCGUUAACCCAGAGCAUAUUCUUGGAGACAGAACUCUGGAAGUGAAGAUAGCGACUCCUAAGGAAGAAAUGCGAGCUCCAGGAAACAAGAAAGCUACUAGGAUAUUUGUUGCUGAGAUUCCAUAGUCUGUGGAUGAUUCAAUGUUUCCCAUGUCAGUCCUAGUACACAUUUUGUUAUUGUUGAUUUACCCAACCUUUAAUGUAUGAACUUGUCUAAGCGUUGAGAUUGUUUGGACAUCCAUUUUCAAUCUUUUGGAGAAAUAACAAAUCUUUAUAUGCCCAA